GGACCCGCACAAGCGGUGGAGCAUGCUCUUUAAUUGGCUGAUAACCCAAGAACCUUACCAGGGCUUGACAUGCAUGAAGUAGUGAACCGAAAGGGGAACGACCGGUAUCCAAUCCGGAGCUUGCACAGGUGUUGCAUGGCUGUCGUCAGUUCGUACCGUGAGGCGUACCCUUAAGUGGGUCAACGAACAUAACCCCUACUGUCAGUUGUAUCACUCUGACGGAACUGCCUCGGCAACGAGGAGGAAGGUGGGGAUGAAGUCAAGUCAGUAUUGCCCUUACGCUCUGGGCUAGAAGCAUGCUACAAUGGCCGGCACAGCGAGAAGCGAAACCGCGAGGUGGAGCUAAUCUUUUAAAACCGGUCUCAGUUCGGAUUGGAGUCUGCAAUUCGACUCCAUGAAGUUGGAAUCGCUAGUAAUCGGCGGUCAGCUAUACGCCGGUGAAUACGUUCUCGGGUCUU
RNAcentral lists this ribosomal RNA (458 nucleotides) under uncultured bacterium. Its description in RNAcentral is "bacterial SSU rRNA". It matches the Rfam family "Bacterial small subunit ribosomal RNA", at positions 917 to 1382 of the family's 1533-position model. The record is from RNAcentral.